GUGCGACGCCGCAUGGCGUUUCCUCCCUAGACUUCGGGCCGCUCCUUCGGGAGUGGCCUUCUUUCUUUGGAGC
This 73-nucleotide small RNA is filed under the name Methylobacterium phyllostachyos. Its description in RNAcentral is "suhB". It matches the Rfam family "Makes More Granules Regulator RNA (mmgR)". Rfam says of the family: SuhB later renamed mmgR (makes more granules regulator) was a putative non-coding RNA found multiple times in the Agrobacterium tumefaciens genome and related alpha-proteobacteria. Other non-coding RNAs uncovered in the same analysis include: speF, ybhL, metA, and serC. Lineage: Bacteria; Pseudomonadati; Pseudomonadota; Alphaproteobacteria; Hyphomicrobiales; Methylobacteriaceae. The record is from RNAcentral.